RNAcentral lists this unclassified non-coding RNA (374 nucleotides) under fungal sp. Its description in RNAcentral is "partial internal transcribed spacer region". The stretch from base 1 to 46 matches the Rfam family "Eukaryotic small subunit ribosomal RNA", at positions 1786 to 1831 of the family's 1831-position model. Lineage: Eukaryota; Fungi. The record is from RNAcentral.
AAGUCGUAACAAGGUUUCCGUAGGUGAACCUGCGGAAGGAUCAUUAACACGUAUCCAACGUUAAACAACCCCGUGAACCUUCAGCCUGCUCUCGUAGCCCACGCGGCAACAGCAAUCCCGGUAAAUCGACGACAGUUACGAUCGAGCGGUAGAGUCAGUGGCAUGGCGUCCCCAAGCAGAAUCCAGAGAAUGAAAGGAUCACUGGCUGCGCAAGGAUAACGCCUCACGGUUGCUAGAGGUCGAUCACCGACCGGCAGACAUGUCACAGGGUCCCCAUGCCCCUUACCUCACCCCAUUACUAAUGACUAGCUUAGCGGUAACGCGCUGAGUAAAAAAAAACCGAACAACUGUUAACAAUGGAUAUCUUGGUUCUC